AACGAACGCUGGCGGCAUGCCUAACACAUGCAAGUCGAACGAGAUCUUCGGGUCUAGUGGCGCACGGGUGCGUAACGCGUGGGAGUCUGCCCUUUGGUUCGGAAUAACAGUUGGAAACGACUGCUAAUACCGGAUGAUGACGAAAGUCCAAAGAUUUAUCGCCAGAGGAUGAGCCCGCGUAGGAUUAGCUAGUUGGUGUGGUAAAGGCGCACCAAGGCGACGAUCCUUAGCUGGUCUGAGAGGAUGAUCAGCCACACUGGGACUGAGACACGGCCCAGACUCCUACGGGAGGCAGCAGUGGGGAAUAUUGGACAACGGGCGAAAGCCUGAUCCAGCAAUGCCGCGUGAGUGAUGAAGGCCUUAGGGUUGUAAAGCUCUUUUACCCGGGAUGAUAAUGACAGUACCGGGAGAAUAAGCUCCGGCUAACUCCGUGCCAGCCGCCGCAGUAA
RNAcentral lists this ribosomal RNA (449 nucleotides) under uncultured bacterium. RNAcentral describes it as "partial 16S ribosomal RNA". It matches the Rfam family "Bacterial small subunit ribosomal RNA", at positions 29 to 523 of the family's 1533-position model. The record is from RNAcentral.